RNAcentral lists this ribosomal RNA (400 nucleotides) under phytoplankton environmental sample. Its description in RNAcentral is "partial small subunit ribosomal RNA". It matches the Rfam family "Eukaryotic small subunit ribosomal RNA", at positions 587 to 980 of the family's 1831-position model. The record is from RNAcentral.
AGCUCCAGUAGCGUAUAUUAAAGUUGUUGCAGUUAAAAAGCUCGUAGUUGGAUUUCUCGAUUACCGAGACGGCCCGGUCUCUCCAAGAGUACUGUGUGCUGUUUGUGCGUAUUCGAUCCUUCCAGAAAGCUGUGCCUACCGCUUCCGCGGCCGGGCGCUGUGAUCUGGAUCUUUUACUUUGAAAAAAUUAGAGUGUUCCAAGCAGGCUUACGCUUUGAAUACAUUAGCAUGGAAUAAUAAUAUAGGACUUUGGUUCUAUUUUGUUGGUUUCUAGGACUAAAGUAAUGAUUGAUAGGGAUAGUUGGGGGUGCUAGUAUUCAGCGGCCAGAGGUGAAAUUCUUGGAUUCGCUGAAGACUAACUACUGCGAAAGCAUUCACCAAGGAUGUCUUCUUUAAUCAA